This 253-nucleotide ribosomal RNA is filed under the name uncultured bacterium. Its description in RNAcentral is "partial 16S ribosomal RNA". It matches the Rfam family "Bacterial small subunit ribosomal RNA", at positions 524 to 776 of the family's 1533-position model. The record is from RNAcentral.
UACGAAGGGGGCUAGCGUUGCUCGGAAUUACUGGGCGUAAAGCGCACGUAGGCGGAUUGUUAAGUCGGGGGUGAAAUCCUGGAGCUCAACUCCAGAACUGCCUUCGAUACUGGCGAUCUCGAGUUCGGGAGAGGUGAGUGGAACUGCGAGUGUAGAGGUGAAAUUCGUAGAUAUCAGGAAGAACACCCGUGGCGAAAGCGGCUCUCUGGAACGGUACUGACGCUGAGACGCGAAAGCGUGGGGAGCGAACAGG